CCACGGUGUGAUUCAUGACUGGGGUGAAGUCGUAACAAGGUAGCCGUAGGGGAACCUGCGGCUGGAUCACCUCCUUA
RNAcentral lists this ribosomal RNA (77 nucleotides) under Pseudomonas syringae. RNAcentral describes it as "partial 16S ribosomal RNA". It matches the Rfam family "Bacterial small subunit ribosomal RNA", at positions 1457 to 1533 of the family's 1533-position model. The record is from RNAcentral. Lineage: Bacteria; Pseudomonadati; Pseudomonadota; Gammaproteobacteria; Pseudomonadales; Pseudomonadaceae. RNAcentral also lists the same sequence under 5 other names.